RNAcentral lists this ribosomal RNA (465 nucleotides) under Vreelandella stevensii. RNAcentral describes it as "partial 16S ribosomal RNA". It matches the Rfam family "Bacterial small subunit ribosomal RNA", at positions 338 to 795 of the family's 1533-position model. The record is from RNAcentral. Lineage: Bacteria; Pseudomonadati; Pseudomonadota; Gammaproteobacteria; Oceanospirillales; Halomonadaceae.
CCUACGGGAGGCUGCAGUGGGGAAUAUUGGACAAUGGGGGGAACCCUGAUCCAGCCAUGCCGCGUGUGUGAAGAAGGCCCUCGGGUUGUAAAGCACUUUCAGUGAGGAAGAACGCCUGGUGGUUAAUACCCAUCAGGAAAGACAUCACUCACAGAAGAAGCACCGGCUAACUCCGUGCCAGCAGCCGCGGUAAUACGGAGGGUGCGAGCGUUAAUCGGAAUUACUGGGCGUAAAGCGCGCGUAGGUGGCUUGAUAAGCCGGUUGUGAAAGCCCCGGGCUCAACCUGGGAACGGCAUCCGGAACUGUCAAGCUAGAGUGCAGGAGAGGAAGGUAGAGUUCCCGGUGUAGCGGUGAAAUGCGUAGAGAUCGGGAGGAAUACCAGUGGCGAAGGCGGCCUUCUGGACUGACACUGACACUGAGGUGCGAAAGCGUGGGUAGCAAACAGGAUUAGAUACCCUAGUAGUC